UUCCUGUGAGGGAACCUGAAGCCUCAAAGU
This 30-nucleotide non-coding RNA is filed under the name Mus musculus (house mouse). Lineage: Eukaryota; Metazoa; Chordata; Mammalia; Rodentia; Muridae. The record is from RNAcentral.